AGGACGAACGCUGGCGGCGUGCUUAACACAUGCAAGUCGAGCGGUAAGGCCUUUUUCGGGGGUUACGACGAGCGGCGAACGGGUGAGUAACACGUGGGUGACCUGCCCUCAGCUCUGGGACAAGCCUGGGAAACCGGGUCUAAUACUGGAUAUGACUCCAUGACGCAUGUUGUGGGGUGGAAAGCCUUGUGCGGCUGAGGAUGGGCCCGCGGCCUAUCAGCUUGUUGGUGGGGUGAGGCCUACCAAGGCGACGACGGGUAGCCGGCCUGAGAGGCGACCGGCCACACUGGGACUGAGACACGGCCCAGACUCCUACGGGAGGCAGCAGUGGGGAAUCUUGCGCAAUGGGCG
This 351-nucleotide ribosomal RNA is filed under the name uncultured bacterium. RNAcentral's name for it is "bacterial SSU rRNA". It matches the Rfam family "Bacterial small subunit ribosomal RNA", at positions 26 to 377 of the family's 1533-position model. The record is from RNAcentral.